AGUCUUUAACUAUAACCAAAAAGGUCCAAAAAGACCAAAAGACGAAGAUUAGAAUCUUUUACUGUUUCAUGCAAUGAGUUGCAGCUAUUAGGUGCUUUAUGUUUUCAUACAUUUGAGUGUUGCGCAUGAGGGAUCCCAACUCACGUGUUGUCCGUGUUGCUCGAGCAAUCUGCCUGAAGCGGGGCAAAGAGUUUUUCUGAUCAAUGAGUUGCUCGAGCCAUCUGCAAAAAACUGGAUCUCUGUUUGAAAUAAUUUGGGCUCAUUUGUUUUCAAAUGACAAACGAUAUACACUUCUCUGAAGUAUUUUUAGUUUCAAAUAAUUCGGUGUUAUCUACUUGAUAACAACUGUAUUUUGCUAUUAGAAACGUGUUAUUUUCAGUAGACUUGUAUUACUUUGUACUCUUCACCUUUGCAUUUAGUUGCCUCUAGAAGUUCUUUACCAUGAGUUUGCUAAAAUGGAAAUAGAAUGCUAAGGCCAUUGUUGACUUUA
Non-coding RNA from Camelina sativa (false flax), 490 nucleotides. The record is from RefSeq and is a predicted model, not a curated record. Lineage: Eukaryota; Viridiplantae; Streptophyta; Magnoliopsida; Brassicales; Brassicaceae.